This is a non-coding RNA of Prunus mume (Japanese apricot), 1467 nucleotides long. Lineage: Eukaryota; Viridiplantae; Streptophyta; Magnoliopsida; Rosales; Rosaceae. The record is from RefSeq and is a predicted model, not a curated record.
UGCUGCCAAACAAAACCCUCAACAAUGGCCGCAGCAACUCAAGCGCUUUUGAGCCUCUUCGCAGCUUCCCUCCCGACCAAGCACCGCCCUCUCACGAUCAGAGCUUCAAAGCCCGCCACCACCAACCCGCCCAUAGCCGGCCGGAAGCUCCGCGCCGCCGUGAUCGGCGCGGGCCCUGCAGGAUCCUCCGGGCGGCGUAGAGACCUUUCUGUUCGAGCGGAGCGGCCCCUCCGCCGCCAAGCCAUGCGGCGGCGCCAUCCCUCUCUGCAUGCUCGACGAGUUCGACAUCCCGCGCCACCUCAUCGACCGCCACGUCACCCGCAUGAGGAUCUUCUCCCCCUCCAAUCUCGCCGUCGAUUUCGGCAAAACCCUGCGCCCCGACGAGUUCAUCGCCAUGCUCCGCCGCGAAGUACUGGAUUCCUUCCUCCGCUCCCGCGCCCAAUCGUGCGGCGCCGACCUCAUCUCCGCCCUCGUCACCGAUCUCGAGGUCCCGACCUCGAACGACGCGCCGUACGUCAUCCGCUACAUUUCGAACAACUCGCAAAAGGCUCUGGCCGUGGACGUUGUGAUCGGCGCGGACGGCGCCAACAGCCGAGUCGCCAAGUCGAUCAAGGCCGGCGGCUACGCAUGCGCCAUUGCGUUUCAGGAGAGGAUUAAGCUCACGGACGACAAAAUGGAGUACUAUGAAGAUCUCGCCGAGAUGUACGUGGGAAACGACGUGUCGCCCGAUUUUUACGCCUGGGUUUUCCCCAAGUGCGACCACGUGGCAGUGGGGACUGGUACGGUGUGCUCCAAGCAGGAUAUUAAGGUGUUCCAAAGGGCAAUUAGGGCUCGGGCCAAUUCUAAGAUCAGCGGUGGGAAAGUGAUCAAAGUGGAGGCCCACCCGAUACCCGAGCAUCCCCGACCAACUCGUGUCAGAGGACGCGUUGCGCUUGUCGGGGACGCAGCUGGGUAUGUGACGAAAUGUUCAGGCGAGGGGAUUUAUUUUGCUGCGAAGUCUGGGAGAUUGUGCGGCCAAGCGAUUGUAAAGGCAUCCGAAGGAGGGCAGAGGAUGAUCAAUGAAGGGGAUUUGAGGAGGGAGUAUUUGAAAGAAUGGGAUGCCAAGUACGUUACAACAUUUAGGUUUUUGGAUUUGUUGCAAAAGGUGUUUUAUGGUAGUGAUGCGGCUAGAGAAGCUUUGGUGGAGUUGUGUGGGGAUGAGUAUGUGCAACGCAUGACAUUUGAGAGUUACUUGUACAAGAGGUUGGCAGAUGGUAAUAGGUGGGAAGAUGCUAAGAUGGUUUGCAAUACCAUUGGAAGUUUGAUGAGGUGUAACAUUUUAGGGAAGAAAAUGGAGAGUUUGAAGUUGUGAGAUUUAAUUUUCUUGCCUUAAUUGGGAUUUUCAUUUGCCUUCUAGUUGUUUGAUUUGUUUUAGCUAAACUAAAGGAUUUGUGGAUUUUAAUUGUAGUUGUUGAAACUUGAAGGUAA